This 253-nucleotide ribosomal RNA is filed under the name uncultured bacterium. RNAcentral describes it as "partial 16S ribosomal RNA". It matches the Rfam family "Bacterial small subunit ribosomal RNA", at positions 524 to 776 of the family's 1533-position model. The record is from RNAcentral.
UACGUAGGGUGCAAGCGUUAAUCGGAAUUACUGGGCGUAAAGCGUGCGCAGGCGGUUUGUUAAGACAGGUGUGAAAUCCCCGGGCUUAACCUGGGAACUGCGCUUGUUACUGGCAAGCUGGAGUGUGGCAGAGGGGGGUGGAAUUCCACGUGUAGCAGUGAAAUGCGUAGAGAUGUGGAGGAACACCGAUGGCGAAGGCAGCCCCCUGGGCUAACACUGACGCUCAUGCACGAAAGCGUGGGGAGCAAACAGG